Molecule: ribosomal RNA, 497 nt
Filed under: uncultured bacterium
Lineage: Bacteria
Description: partial 16S ribosomal RNA
Rfam family: Bacterial small subunit ribosomal RNA
Source: RNAcentral
GAUGAACGCUGGCGGCGUGCCUAAUACAUGCAAGUCGAGCGAACAGAUGAGGAGCUUGCUCCUCUGACGUUAGCGGCGGACGGGUGAGUAACACGUGGAUAACCUACCUAUAAGACUGGGAUAACUUCGGGAAACCGGAGCUAAUACCGGAUAAUAUAUUGAACCGCAUGGUUCAAUAGUGAAAGACGGUUUUGCUGUCACUUAUAGAUGGAUCCGCGCCGCAUUAGCUAGUUGGUAAGGUAACGGCUUACCAAGGCAACGAUGCGUAGCCGACCUGAGAGGGUGAUAGGCCACACUGGAACUGAGACACGGUCCAGACUCCUACGGGAGGCAGCAGUAGGGAAUCUUCCGCAAUGGGCGAAAGCCUGACGGAGCAACGCCGCGUGAGUGAUGAAGGUCUUCGGAUCGUAAAACUCUGUUAUUAGGGAAGAACAAAUGUGUAAGUAACUAUGCACGUCUUGACGGUACCUAAUCAGAAAGCCACGGCUAACUACGUG